CAGCGCCACAAGUGGCAAUCACGUUUAUUGGGCCUAAAGCGUCCGUAGCCGGUUUAGCAAAUCUUUUGUGAAAUCGUCAGGCUUAACUUGACGAAUUGCAGAAGACACUACUAAACUAGGGACUGGGAGGAGUCAGAAGUAUUCUGGGGGGACCGGUAAAAUGGUAUAAUCCCUGGAAGACUACCGAUGGCGAAGGCAUCUGACCAGAACGGAUCCGACGGUGAGGGACGAAAGCUAGGGGAGCGAACCGGAUUAGAUACCCGAGUAGUCC
RNAcentral lists this ribosomal RNA (271 nucleotides) under uncultured archaeon. Its description in RNAcentral is "partial 16S ribosomal RNA". It matches the Rfam family "Archaeal small subunit ribosomal RNA", at positions 477 to 747 of the family's 1478-position model. The record is from RNAcentral.